RNAcentral lists this transfer RNA (69 nucleotides) under Kalophrynus pleurostigma. RNAcentral describes it as "tRNA-Asp". It matches the Rfam family "tRNA". From Rfam's summary of the family: Transfer RNA (tRNA) molecules are approximately 80 nucleotides in length. Their secondary structure includes four short double-helical elements and three loops (D, anti-codon, and T loops). The record is from RNAcentral. Lineage: Eukaryota; Metazoa; Chordata; Amphibia; Anura; Microhylidae.
GAAAUGCUAGUUAACAAAUAACAUUACUUUGUCAAGGUAAAAUUACAGGUUAAAAUCCAGUGCAUUUCU